Ziziphus jujuba (common jujube) is the source of this 514-nucleotide long non-coding RNA. RefSeq lists it as uncharacterized. The transcript has 3 exons. NCBI's taxonomy places the organism in Eukaryota, Viridiplantae, Streptophyta, Magnoliopsida, Rosales, Rhamnaceae. The record is from RefSeq and is a predicted model, not a curated record.
AUGUUUACGUCAUGAGGCGUUAUGCUGAACUCACAGCUUCCACAUUAAUGGUGAAUAUGGAGAUGGACAGCUUGAACUAAAUUUGGAACGUCUGAGAAUGGCUACUGAUGAUUUGCUUAUCAAGCUUUCCAAAACAUUCCCAAAACCAAAAUUCAAACCGCAUUUUUGAAAACAACUAUGAUAUGAAAAUUGCAGUGCCGAAGGUUGUAAGGCCUUUAUGAUGGUUAGUAUGAUCGGUUUCACAGUAACUUUCCGAAUAUAUUUAUCCUCCAGCCUCUUCUAUCUCACCUCUAGUAAUAUGAAUUUCUGGAAGCUGGUCCAGAGGGUGGGAAAAUUCAAAUGCACUUUGAGGAAGGAACUACUGAAAACCAACACUGCAUUAGUUGUGGUAAUAUACUGUCAAUAGUUUGAGGUCUGCAAUGUCCCAGCUGCUGCUUUGAUAUAAUAGCAUAUGAGAUUUAAAGCUAAAGCCGCUUUAGAGGCUUCUAGUACACAAUGACAUGCCUUUCUUUUU